This 253-nucleotide ribosomal RNA is filed under the name uncultured bacterium. Its description in RNAcentral is "partial 16S ribosomal RNA". It matches the Rfam family "Bacterial small subunit ribosomal RNA", at positions 524 to 776 of the family's 1533-position model. The record is from RNAcentral.
UACGAAGGGAGCUAGCGUUGUUCGGAAUUACUGGGCGUAAAGCGCACGUAGGCGGACAUUUAAGACAGGGGUGAAAUCCCAGAGCUCAACUCUGGAACUGCCUUUGAUACUGGGUGUCUUGAGUAUGGAAGAGGUGAGUGGAAUUCCGAGUGUAGAGGUGAAAUUCGUAGAUAUUCGGAGGAACACCAGUGGCGAAGGCGGCUCACUGGUCCAUUACUGACGCUGAGGUGCGAAAGCGUGGGGAGCAAACAGG